Molecule: ribosomal RNA, 468 nt
Filed under: uncultured bacterium
Lineage: Bacteria
Description: partial 16S ribosomal RNA
Rfam family: Bacterial small subunit ribosomal RNA
Source: RNAcentral
GACGAACGCUGGCGGCGUGCUUAAUACAUGCAAGUCGAACGGACAGGCCCUGCUCUUGCUGGGUGCUCGAUUGGCGAACGGGUGUGUAAAACGCGUGUAACCCGCCCUUGUCUUUCGGAUAACUCUUGGGAACUGCGGAUCAUAUAGGAUAGGAGCUCCUGCUGCACGGUGGGGGUUGGUAAGAUUCGGCGGUUGGGGAUGGACUCGCGGCUUAUCAGCUUGAUGGUGGGGUAGUGGCUUACCAAGGCUUUGACGGAUAGCCGGCCUGAGAGGGUGACCGGCCACAUGAGUACUACGAGACGGCCCAGACUCCUACGGGAGGCAGCAGUGGGGAAUAUGACAGAAUGGGCGGAAGCCUGAUGCAGCAGCGCCGCGUGCGGAAUGACGGCCUACGAGUUAUGAACCGCUUUCGCCUGUGACGAAGCGUGAGUGACGGUAAUGGGUAAGAAAGCACCGGCUAACUACGUG